RNAcentral lists this ribosomal RNA (429 nucleotides) under Pseudomonadota bacterium. RNAcentral's name for it is "Proteobacteria bacterium partial 16S ribosomal RNA". It matches the Rfam family "Bacterial small subunit ribosomal RNA", at positions 355 to 776 of the family's 1533-position model. The record is from RNAcentral. Lineage: Bacteria; Pseudomonadati; Pseudomonadota.
UGGGGAAUAUUGGACAAUGGGCGAAAGCCUGAUCCAGCCAUGCCGCGUGUGUGAAGAAGGUCUUCGGAUUGUAAAGCACUUUAAGUUGGGAGGAAGGGCAGUAAGCGAAUACCUUGCUGUUUUGACGUUACCGACAGAAUAAGCACCGGCUAACUCUGUGCCAGCAGCCGCGGUAAUACAGAGGGUGCAAGCGUUAAUCGGAAUUACUGGGCGUAAAGCGCGCGUAGGUGGUUCGUUAAGUUGAAUGUGAAAGCCCCGGGCUCAACCUGGGAACUGCAUCCAAAACUGGCGAGCUAGAGUAGGGCAGAGGGUGGUGGAAUUUCCUGUGUAGCGGUGAAAUGCGUAGAUAUAGGAAGGAACACCAGUGGCGAAGGCGACCACCUGAGCUCAUACUGACACUGAGGUGCGAAAGCGUGGGGAGCAAACAGG